GCGAUUAUGAAUUCCAAUUUGAGAAAUCAUAUGGCAGAAAAUAAAGUCUAAUACCUUUCGUUUAUGAAAGACAUAUUUAAAACUCAUGUUAUAUCAAUGUCUUAAUACUUGUUUGUACCUUGACUCUUACUUCAGGUAGAACCUCUCAUAACUACUAAGACCAAGACCAUUUGAAUCUCUCUAGUUCAACAAGUUUCUCAAAUCAGGCACUAUUUGUACCUUUGAUUAUGGAAACCGUGUUGUAGAAAGUGAAAGGUAGAUCGUCAACUGCUUGACGAUUUGGCUUUUGAUUUAGGAAAUCAAGUUGCCAGAAAUACCUAUUCCAAGGUAGAACCUCCACUAAUUGCAGAAUUUGGUGCACUCGAUGAUUGUAUGAGUUAGACACGACUCUUCUUUUAACUGCAGUCGGUCACCUCUGGAUCCAGAACAGAGAUCCUCCUCAAAAACGAUAUCUGCAAUUAUUGUAGUUUGUGGAUUUUUCCGUUCAACCAUGAGGAUGAAGAUUUUGUCAAUUCUCAACAGCUUGUCCAGGAGACUGUGUGUUUGUGAAGAAACUGGACAUGCACUCACGACUUCAGCUCGUCAAAGCCUGUCAGUGAAGUUUAUGUUGGAGAUAGCAGUGACAGACAGUGAACCCAUGAAUGCAUAUGGGUAAAUUGAAUAUCCUCCAAUCAGUAUCUGGGAAUAGAACUCUAAUAGGCAGUUCAUCAUAAUUAAAUUUCUCUAGAGAAAUAUUGUUAUUGUUGACAUUACUUAUAAUAAUGUUUCAUUCAUGCUGUGGUGUA
Molecule: long non-coding RNA, 785 nt
Organism: Pistacia vera
Lineage: Eukaryota; Viridiplantae; Streptophyta; Magnoliopsida; Sapindales; Anacardiaceae
Exons: 3
Source: RefSeq, a predicted model, not a curated record